AACGAACGCUGGCGGCAGGCUUAACACAUGCAAGUCGAGCGAGACCUUCGGGUCUAGCGGCGGACGGGUGAGUAACGCGUGGGAACGUGCCCUUCUCUACGGAAUAGCCCCGGGAAACUGGGAGUAAUACCGUAUACGCCCUUUGGGGGAAAGAUUUAUCGGAGAAGGAUCGGCCCGCGUUGGAUUAGGUAGUUGGUGGGGUAAUGGCCCACCAAGCCGACGAUCCAUAGCUGGUUGGAGAGGAUGAUCAGCCACACUGGGACUGAGACACGGCCCAGACUCCUACGGGAGGCAGCAGUGGGGAAUCUUAGACAAGGGGGGCAACCCUGAUCGAGCCAUGCCGCGUGAGUGAUGAAGGCCUUAGGGUUGUAAAGCUCUUUCAGCUGGGAAGAUAAUGACGGUACCAGCAGAAGAAGCCCCGGCUAACUCCGUG
This 433-nucleotide ribosomal RNA is filed under the name uncultured bacterium. RNAcentral's name for it is "partial 16S ribosomal RNA". It matches the Rfam family "Bacterial small subunit ribosomal RNA", at positions 29 to 507 of the family's 1533-position model. The record is from RNAcentral.